AGUGAACGCUGGCGGUAGGCCUAACACAUGCAAGUCGAACGGCAGCACAGGAGAGCUUGCUCUCUGGGUGGCGAGUGGCGGACGGGUGAGGAAUACAUCGGAAUCUACUCUGUCGUGGGGGAUAACGUAGGGAAACUUACGCUAAUACCGCAUACGACCUACGGGUGAAAGCAGGGGACCUUCGGGCCUUGCGCGAUUGAAUGAGCCGACGUCGGAUUAGCUAGUUGGCGGGGUAAAGGCCCACCAAGGCGACGAUCCGUAGCUGGUCUGAGAGGAUGAUCAGCCACACUGGAACUGAGACACGGUCCAGACUCCUACGGGAGGCAGCAGUGGUGAAUAUUGGACAAUGGGCGCAAGCCUGAUCCAGCCAUACCGCGUGGGUGAAGAAGGCCUUCGGGUUGUAAAGCCCUUUUGUUGGGAAAGAAAUCCAGCUGGCUAAUACCCGGUUGGGAUGACGGUACCCAAAGAAUAAGCACCGGCUAACUUCGUGCCAGCAGCCGCCGUAA
RNAcentral lists this ribosomal RNA (506 nucleotides) under uncultured bacterium. RNAcentral's name for it is "partial 16S ribosomal RNA". It matches the Rfam family "Bacterial small subunit ribosomal RNA", at positions 29 to 523 of the family's 1533-position model. The record is from RNAcentral.